UGAGAUCAGAUAUCUGCCCCAUCUCCCUGCCCAACUUCUAGGACUGCAAUGGGACUUGUCUGUGUGGUUAUCUUCCCUUGUGCUGAAGAGUAUCUUUGGAGUGGUGCUGACCACUGUUGGGUCUGCUUUGAAUGCCAAGUUGGGCAGGUUGAAUGGGGCUAUCUGCUGGGAAACAGGGGGUUGGGGGCAGGACACAUGGUGUUAGCAAAGUAUGCACUUGUCUGCUUACAGGAUGGAACCUGGAGCCACAUUGGAGGGACUUCUACUAGUGAAGCAAAUUGGACAGUGCAAUCCACAGGAGAAUACAAGGGUGGACAUACAGUGUUAGCAAGCUAGGUUGCAAGUAUUCUUACUGGUUCCUGUAGGUGUUCUAAUAUCCAGGCUAGGAAGUGUGGGAGAUAAAUGGUACCCACCAGCUCUUUUGUUCUUGGAGAAAUCUCUUAAGGAUCUCUGCCCCUCCAGCAUACAUUAAGAGGUUAGUUUGAUUGUUGACUACAUCUCUGCCCUUCCAUCCAUUUUCGAUGUGGCCUCUUCUCUAUGAUGAACUGUGAAGAGUCUGUUCUGCCCAGACUCCACAUGAUUUUCUAGGUUAGUUACGCUGAUGUGGGUGUUAUCUACCUCUGUUCAUGGUCCAAGUUGCUAAGAGACAUCUUAAAGUCCUUAUCGAAAGAAAAACAAAUUUCUACAUAUGGAUGGUGAUGACUGUUAACUAGACAUACUGUGGCUUGUGUGUGAAACAAGAACUGAAGUGCUCACAGAUGAGGCAGCGAUUAGCAUCCAAACCUACCCCAUGCCAAGCAAGAGCUGUUGUUGCUGAGAUCCAAAGUUAUCUAGGUGAUCACUGACAAAUAGCUUCCCCCAGAACAUGAGAAAUCUCCAACCACCUGCUCUUUCUUGGCUGGUGGAGUGAAACAGAUUUCCUAGUCUACUGGCUCUGCUAAACUGUGAGUUCCAGGUGAGCCAAAGCCACUCUUCCAGCCAUUGAAAGAAAAAAAUGACCUCAGUCAGCAGGAGGACUCUCUCCUGCCAGAAGAAAGGAAAAGAGACUUGAGAAAUCAUUUAACCCAAGACCCUCACUGUACAGAUCAGAAUUCAGGUCAAGUGCUUCGCCUAAGUCAUAAAGCAGUUAUUUCAUUGCAAAAACAGUAUGAGCAAAAACCUCUCUGGCUAAAUUAAAGAUACUCCCAGGGAGGCAUCAUGAUGUAUGUAAUGAGCAGAGUACUGGUAUUGAUUGAGACUCUCUUGGCUUGUAUUUUAAUUCUUCAAUUAUAUAUAAGCUACCAAGGAACCUUUAGCAACUUCAGUUUCCUUGAUGCUAUCUUACAGGGUCAUUUUGAAGAGUGCGUGUGACAAUUCACAUAAUAGUCAUGUAAUUGCAACAAGUAAUUGUUAUGUAAUUGUACGUAAAUUAAGUACAUGAUAGCAAUUAUUAUUAUUAUUCAGUGGCCCAGGAAAUGUAAACCUAUCAGCUAUCUACUGAUAUCUUCAAAAGAAGAGGACAUCCUACAAGGAACUGUGAAGUCAAAUAAAUUUCCAAAAUUUAAAGCUAAAGUUAAAUAGUUGGUCUAGAUCACCAACUAUUCAGUCUUUUAAAAAUUCUCUCUUCCUUAUCUUUGGAAUGACUAUCCAAAGAUUUCAGCAAAUGCAAAUGGCCCAGAAAUGUAACCACAUAUAAUAUAGAGCUUAAAAAAUAAAGGUUUUUAUUUCCAUCUAAAA
Long non-coding RNA from Neofelis nebulosa (Clouded leopard), 1716 nucleotides. RefSeq lists it as uncharacterized. The transcript is spliced from 4 exons. Lineage: Eukaryota; Metazoa; Chordata; Mammalia; Carnivora; Felidae. The record is from RefSeq and is a predicted model, not a curated record.